GCUUGUCUCAAGAUUAAGCCAUGCAUGUGUAAGUUUAAAUAAAUCUAAACUGUGAAACUGCGAAUGGCUCAUUAUAUCAGUUAUAGUCUACUCGAUAGUACCUUACUACUUGGAUAACCGUAGUAAUUCUAGAGCUAAUACAUGCGUAAAUACCCAACUGCUUGUCGGACGGGUAGCAUUUAUUAGAUUGAAACCAAUGCAGCUUCGGCUGGUAUUGUGUUGAGUCAUAAUAACUGUGCGGAUCGCUUUUUAAGCGAUAAAUCGAUUGAGUUUCUGCCCUAUCAGCUUUGGAUGGUAGGAUAUGGGCCUACCAUGGCGUUAACGGGUAACGGGGAAUUAGGGUUUGAUUCCGGAGAGGGAGCCUUAGAAACGGCUACCACAUCCAAGGAAGGCAGCAGG
Molecule: ribosomal RNA, 399 nt
Filed under: uncultured Saprolegniales
Lineage: Eukaryota; Oomycota; Saprolegniomycetes; Saprolegniales
Description: partial small subunit ribosomal RNA
Rfam family: Eukaryotic small subunit ribosomal RNA
Source: RNAcentral